Long non-coding RNA from Dreissena polymorpha, 1708 nucleotides. RefSeq lists it as uncharacterized. The record is from RefSeq and is a predicted model, not a curated record. The transcript has 4 exons. Lineage: Eukaryota; Metazoa; Mollusca; Bivalvia; Myida; Dreissenidae.
AUGGAGCUAUUAAGUUUCUAUGUAUACGCUUAUCAAUUUAAAGUAGUUCAUGCCUAAAUCUGUGAAAAGGUUCCUUGAAUGUUUGUUACUAAAAGUUUGUCCGAGCAUAUAUUGACAAGUAAAAUAGUAUCACAUCAAAACUUGACAGGUAUGUACAUCUUAUAUUUUAGGGCACGUGCAGCGCACUACAACUCUAAACGCUUGCGUUCAUAAUAUCUUAGUUACUGCCCUGUGCAUAUUUUUACAACGAUUGUUUGUCUGCAGCAUAUCUCAAAACUAAAAGAGGAAUGCACUUGAAACUUGAUAUGUAAGAACAUCUGAUUUUAUUGAGGGAAUGAGAAGAUAACAAACUCCAAAAAUCUUGCUUCGAUAUAUUGAGUUAUUGUCUUUUGUUUGUUAUAAAGCGGGAGGCCGUUUUAUCAACAGAUUUUAUCUUAGCGGAUCUUAUCUUAAAUCCUUGACUUACGAUUUCAUUUACGAUCAGCUAAUACCCGCAGCUAAGAUUUUAGUUAAGGGUACGAUCUGGAAAAUCGCGAACCAGUCGAAAAACCUCACACGAUUUCCCGCGUUUAUGUCAAAAAAGCAAGAUGGCCAACAACGUAAACAGAGGCAAGUAGUUAAUGAUAGUUAUGAUUUACUAAUAGUAGUACUAAAUGUAGGGAUAUCAUGACUCAUGUCUUAAAUAUUAUAGCGUUUAUGUCUGUCAAUUUGUCUCGUAAUUGAUACUGAGUUUUUAUUAAAUUUAUAUCGUUAUUUUACACCAAAGAAUCGAAAUGUUUUAUGCAUUUAUUUUAUGUAUUUAUUUUCUGAAUUCUAGUUGCAAGUACUGUUAUAACGAAAUCAUAUUUUCCCGCGUUUGGAACUUUCAGCCUUUAAAAUGACAAAUCGUUAUUGUGUGUUCAUAUCUAAUGUUUUUGGCAGAAGAGUAUUCGAGUAUCAAUCAAUACAUUAUUUCUAUGCCCCACAUUUGAAGAAAACAAUUUAUUUUUAUGUUUGUUUUUAGGGUAAAUGUAUCUCUCUUUUCAAGGAACAUUCUAAUCUAACACAUUUCCGCUUCUUUCGCUAUAUAUUUGUUUUCGUACUUCUUCUACUUCGUACUUCUUCUUCUACUUCGUACUUCCUACAGUUAAUUGCUGACUAUUACAUGAAGGCCGAUAUAGGCAGAUAUGGACACUGUCGAGUCCGUUUCCUAGGAAGAACCAGUACUUGGUGUCUAUGGAGGAAAUAAUGAGAAUGCUCCUCGAGUAGGGAGCGAACCUACGAACUCCCGAUCGCUAGGCGGACACCUCAUCCACUACACCACCGCGAUAGUAUAUACGGAUGCCUACUGUAUAUUUAUUUUUGGCAUAGAAUUUACUUUAUUACCCAGUGUACAUAGCUUUAGAAUUAAUUUUCAAUUAUAAACAUAAACCUGAAAACUAUCACUCAAUUUCAGAGUGAACAGCAUUUGAUUGUGUAGCCCCAAGAUAGCCAAAUUUAUCAAGAAAUGGACGGACUUUAAGACGCACAACAACAACCAUGUGUGAAUGAUGAGAUCUCAUCCAUCACAUCAGUUGAACAAAAGUUGGAAAUCCGCGAAACAGCGCAUGUGAGGCCCAGUCAUUUGAGCCGAUAGUGUUCCACUUCAUUGUUCCCUAGCUGUAGAGUUGUUGGAGAAAACCCUGUAUUGUUAUGUUACAAAGAUAAUUAAAUAAAGGAGUAGAAUUUA